UUGGUUAGGUGCAACAAGAACCGAUGUACUGCGCUUAUUCACAAUAGUUUUAGUGAUCAUUUUCUAUAACACAGAGCACAGUUGAAAAUGAGUGAAUAUUUUCGAACCACUCACCUUAGGAACUCAGGCAACCGAUGUCUGGAUCCAAUUCUUGACCUUGAAACACUCUUUGUAAUGGCCCAAUAUUGCCCAGCCCGAUAAUAAAAAUAAUAAAAUAAAAAAUAGUCUAAAAACCACAGUGUCUAUUUACAAUAACCUAACCACUAGCACCCCAAUUACGCCUAGCCCAACUAGCCUAAGCCUAACCCAAUAACCCCAAAUCAUUUAACCUAAUUCAGCCCAACCUAGCCCAAAAUAUGCCCCAAACCCCGAAACCCUAGCCUUUAGCAUCACCGCCCUCCAACCGCCGCAACAGUGAACUCAUCACACCGCCUUGCACGCCACGUCGGCAUUCGUACGCCCCAGCUGGCCCUCGUACGACUGCACUUGCGCAGCAAUGCAACAAACGCACACAAGCAGACAAGCAAAAACAAACAAACAGAAAACGACAGCAAAGAAAAAAGAAAAAAGAUAUUGGUUGUAUUUUUGGAUUGAUUUUGUUUCGGCUAUAAAGCCA
RNAcentral lists this long non-coding RNA (616 nucleotides) under Gossypium raimondii (Peruvian cotton). RNAcentral describes it as "long non-coding RNA (GRAI_LNC008913)". Lineage: Eukaryota; Viridiplantae; Streptophyta; Magnoliopsida; Malvales; Malvaceae. The record is from RNAcentral.